This 69-nucleotide transfer RNA is filed under the name Holothuria edulis. RNAcentral's name for it is "tRNA-Pro". Lineage: Eukaryota; Metazoa; Echinodermata; Holothuroidea; Aspidochirotida; Holothuriidae. The record is from RNAcentral.
CAGGAGCUAGUUUAAAAUAAAACGGUUGUUUUGGGGACAACAGACACAAAGUUAGCAUUGUGCACCUGA